UACAGAGGGUGCAAGCGUUAAUCGGAAUUACUGGGCGUAAAGGGCUCGUAGGCGGCCAACUAAGUCAGACGUGAAAUCCCUCGGCUUAACCGGGGAACUGCGUCUGAUACUGGAUGGCUUGAAUCCGGGAGAGGGAUGCGGAAUUCCAGGUGUAGCGGUGAAAUGCGUAGAUAUCUGGAGGAACACCGGUGGCGAAGGCGGCAUCCUGGACCGGCAUUGACGCUGAGGAGCGAAAGCCAGGGGAGCAAACGGG
This 253-nucleotide ribosomal RNA is filed under the name uncultured bacterium. RNAcentral describes it as "partial 16S ribosomal RNA". It matches the Rfam family "Bacterial small subunit ribosomal RNA", at positions 524 to 776 of the family's 1533-position model. The record is from RNAcentral.